RNAcentral lists this non-coding RNA (101 nucleotides) under Desulfuribacillus alkaliarsenatis. RNAcentral describes it as "Guanine sequence". It matches the Rfam family "Purine riboswitch aptamer". From Rfam's summary of the family: Riboswitches are metabolite binding domains within certain messenger RNAs that serve as precision sensors for their corresponding targets. Lineage: Bacteria; Bacillati; Bacillota; Desulfuribacillia; Desulfuribacillales; Desulfuribacillaceae. The record is from Rfam by way of RNAcentral.
AAUAUAAUUUUAUAAUCAACUCGUAUAAUAGCAGGAAUAUGGCCUGCGAGUAUCUACCGACCACCCUAAAUGGAUCGACUACGAGUGAAUUUUAGAUACUU